This 87-nucleotide unclassified non-coding RNA is filed under the name Pseudomonas yamanorum. Lineage: Bacteria; Pseudomonadati; Pseudomonadota; Gammaproteobacteria; Pseudomonadales; Pseudomonadaceae. The record is from RNAcentral.
UGUGGGAGCUGGCUUGCCUGCGAUGCAGGCGACUCGGUCUUUCUGCUACACCAAGGCGAUGCCAUCGCAGGCAAGCCAGCUCCCACA